AAGAGCGGUCAUAUCCGCACUAAUGCACUGAAUGCAAUUAGAACACUGUAGUUAGGCAUGCUUGGGCGAGAGUAGUACUAGGAUGGGUGACCACUUGGUAAGUACUCGUGUUGUACCUC
Molecule: ribosomal RNA, 119 nt
Organism: Lupinus angustifolius (narrow-leaved blue lupine)
Lineage: Eukaryota; Viridiplantae; Streptophyta; Magnoliopsida; Fabales; Fabaceae
Source: Rfam